UACGGAGGAUGCGAGCGUUAUCCGGAUUUAUUGGGUUUAAAGGGUGCGUAGGCGGACUGUCAAGUCAGCGGUAAAAUUGAGGGGCUCAACCUCUUCCCGCCGUUGAAACUGGUGGUCUUGAGUGGAUGAGAAGUACGCGGAAUGCGUGGUGUAGCGGUGAAAUGCAUAGAUAUCAUGCAGAACUCCGAUUGCGAAGGCAGCGUACCGGCAUCCAACUGACGCUGAGGCACGAAAGCGUGGGGAUCAAACAGG
RNAcentral lists this ribosomal RNA (252 nucleotides) under uncultured bacterium. RNAcentral describes it as "partial 16S ribosomal RNA". It matches the Rfam family "Bacterial small subunit ribosomal RNA", at positions 524 to 776 of the family's 1533-position model. The record is from RNAcentral.